This 504-nucleotide ribosomal RNA is filed under the name uncultured Actinomycetes bacterium. RNAcentral's name for it is "bacterial SSU rRNA". It matches the Rfam family "Bacterial small subunit ribosomal RNA", at positions 382 to 896 of the family's 1533-position model. Lineage: Bacteria; Bacillati; Actinomycetota; Actinomycetes. The record is from RNAcentral.
CCUGAUGCAGCGACGCCGCGUGAGGGAUGACGGCCUUCGGGUUGUAAACCUCUUUCAGUAGGGAAGAAGCGAAAGUGACGGUACCUGCAGAAGAAGCGCCGGCUAACUACGUGCCAGCAGCCGCGGUAAUACGUAGGGCGCAAGCGUUAUCCGGAAUUAUUGGGCGUAAAGAGCUCGUAGGCGGUUUGUCGCGUCUGCCGUGAAAGUCCGGGGCUCAACUCCGGAUCUGCGGUGGGUACGGGCAGACUAGAGUGAUGUAGGGGAGACUGGAAUUCCUGGUGUAGCGGUGAAAUGCGCAGAUAUCAGGAGGAACACCGAUGGCGAAGGCAGGUCUCUGGGCAUUAACUGACGCUGAGGAGCGAAAGCAUGGGGAGCGAACAGGAUUAGAUACCCUGGUAGUCCAUGCCGUAAACGUUGGGCACUAGGUGUGGGGGACAUUCCACGUUUUCCGCGCCGUAGCUAACGCAUUAAGUGCCCCGCCUGGGGAGUACGGCCGCAAGGCUA